UAUUGACAUUUUUAUGUGUCAAUGAAUAAAUAGAUCAUUAUUCAUAAUUUCUAAAUUUACAUGUAUCCCUAGCUAUUUUUGUCCAGUAUAUUUG
Long non-coding RNA from Haliotis rubra (blacklip abalone), 94 nucleotides. RefSeq lists it as uncharacterized. The record is from RefSeq and is a predicted model, not a curated record. Lineage: Eukaryota; Metazoa; Mollusca; Gastropoda; Lepetellida; Haliotidae. The transcript is spliced from 3 exons.